GAUGAACGCUAGCUACAGGCUUAACACAUGCAAGUCGAGGGGCAGCAUGAACUUAGCUUGCUAAGUUUGAUGGCGACCGGCGCACGGGUGAGUAACACGUAUCCAACCUGCCGAUGACUCGGGGAUAGCCUUUCGAAAGAAAGAUUAAUACCCGAUGGCAUAGUUCUUCCGCAUGGUAGAACUAUUAAAGAAUUUCGGUCAUCGAUGGGGAUGCGUUCCAUUAGGUUGUUGGCGGGGUAACGGCCCACCAAGCCUUCGAUGGAUAGGGGUUCUGAGAGGAAGGUCCCCCCACAUUGGAACUGAGACACGGUCCAAACUCCUACGGGAGGCAGCAGUGAGGAAUAUUGGUCAAUGGACGAGAGUCUGAACCAGCCAAGUAGCGUGAAGGAUGACUGCCCUAUGGGUUGUAAACUUCUUUUAUACGGGAAUAAAGUGAGGCACGUGUGCCUUUUUGUAUGUACCGUAUGAAUAAGGAUCGGCUAACUCCGUG
RNAcentral lists this ribosomal RNA (490 nucleotides) under uncultured bacterium. RNAcentral's name for it is "bacterial SSU rRNA". It matches the Rfam family "Bacterial small subunit ribosomal RNA", at positions 28 to 507 of the family's 1533-position model. The record is from RNAcentral.